GACACUUAAGCAAACUCGAUCGUUGUACACUGUGAUGGGCGAGCAUCACUGUGUCUCCGUGCCGUGUAAGAGCUCCCCUGGCCAUCAGGCACUUGAAAGGUCCUUCGACGACGAGUUACAAUAGUGGUGUGUUAGAUACGUCAGGUGAUGGUAUCUACUGUUGUGCAAUACGUAUCCGGCCACGGCACGGAACGAACGGGAACUGUGGUGCAGACAUACAAAGAGUUAAGCCUAUUAGUCAUUAACUCUAAGGACGGGGCCAUGGGGCGGUACGCAAAGGAUACGGAUGAGCGAGUAUGCAGGCCCAAUACUCAAUAGCUCGAUCCGAUCCAAGCACAUGAGUUGACUGCGGCGCCAGGUUAACCAAUGUGCUAGAUUCUAUUUGGCCAGUAGAAUCUUGUGUCUUAUGCGAUUUGAUACCAAGACACAGAACGAAAGUUAGUUGAAGAGUUAUUAAACUCUUAUGAAGUAUGGUUGUGCAAUCACAACUUAUGACUUUAACCUAUAAAGUGGAUAUGGACUUGCAAUUAUAACAUGGAAUCUCUACACACCCCAUGAGCUCGAUCCAAUCCACGCACACGAGUUGCCUGAGUAGCGACAGGUAUACCGAUGUGCAAUACGUAUCCGGCCAUAGGCACGGAACGAACAGGAACUGUGGUGCAGACAUACAAGGGCCAUGGGGCGGUACGCAAAGGAUACGGAUGAGCGAGUAUGCAGGCCCAAUACUCAAUAGCUCGAUCCGAUCCAAGCACAUGAGUUGACUGCGGCGUCAGGUUAACCAAUGUGCAAUACGUAUCCGGCUACGGCACGGAACGAACAGGAACUGUGGUGCAGACAUACAAGGGCCAUGGGGCGGUACGCAAA
Long non-coding RNA from Anopheles funestus (African malaria mosquito), 864 nucleotides. RefSeq lists it as uncharacterized. The transcript is spliced from 2 exons. Lineage: Eukaryota; Metazoa; Arthropoda; Insecta; Diptera; Culicidae. The record is from RefSeq and is a predicted model, not a curated record.